GUAAAACAUUUUAUUUCAAGAGACUGCAGAUUCUGUACAGGAGAGCAUCUGUACAUAAGUUAUAAACAUCAGCAGUUUGCUGGUACAAAAUUAUAAAAGAACAUAUACAUUAUCUACACGUGCCAUGUGUUCCACACACCACUGUCUAUGUAGUGACCACAUACACAGCGUCCCAGUGGUAUUUCGCGUGCAGUUGUUAACAGGGCACAGACUCGUCCGUGGAGUGUAAGUGGUCGUUUGUACAACACGGGAUCAGGGGUAGGAUUGGAUGUAAGCUCAUGACAAAACAGAUUAGAGAGCAGGCUGGCGUACAGUCAUACGGGAGUUGGUGGUAUUUAAAACUGUGGGGAUCACCCGUUGAAGAACGCUCCUCUAGUUAUUGCAGUGUACACAGGAUUACCCAGCCACAUCUGGGCCAUAAUUACACAGGGACAGAACCAAAAGCAAAUAUCCCAAUUCUUACUCAUCCUCAUCUUCCAACUCAUUUCCACUAAUUCAAGUUCUGAAAAAUGGGGCAGUAGAACGUAUGGACGAGCACAUGUUAUGGAUAUUAAAAUGUUCUGUCCAUGGGGAAUUUACUAGGCAUGUGUGUGAUGAUGCCCGUCUCUAAUUCACACUUCAUAAACUAUCUACAAUAAUCAGGGCUCUUUGCUUGAUCAUGUAACAUGAGCGUGUUUGUAACCUUUACUUAAAGCUUCUUUUGAAGUAAACAUCACCCUUUUCUACUUGUCAGAUGGUCCACCGCCACCAGACAGUCACCUCGGGGUGUACUUCUCACAUCCAGAAAAGGCUUAAAAGGGAAGGUUAAACUCUGGGUCAUGUGACACGACCAACCAAUACACCAGGCCCCUAACAGUGAUGCAUAAUUCAUGGUGUUCCUGUACAUCUGGCCAAUCAAAUCCCAGCCUUGUCCUGCUUGGACCUUCACUGACAUAAGUGUAGAUGUGAAACCCUGGCAGAUAAGAUGGACAAAAAGGCUUCUUAACCACCGUUAUUACGCAUGACGUUGCGCGGUGACCCGCCAUAAGACGUCAUGCCUGGACACGCAGUGCCCCAAUCUUUUUUGCUCAGGACUCAAUCACUUCAGAAAUCAAUCACUUCAGACGCCGCAAUGAUUAUUGUACUGCGGGCCCCAUUAAAAGAAAACAACUGAAUACAUGUUAUUACACUCACAUGAACAACCACACAGAAAUACACCAAGUACAACAUCAACAACACUCAAGUCAUAUGCACCAUAUACAUACUCUCAAACAGAAAGAUCUGGGGGUUCCCAACCUUUUUCCACCAAGGCCCCCUAUUUUACACUCCCCAUGUUCAUUCCAUGUGUUGUGUUGUAUUGUUUUUUGUUGGGGUGUUGGGGAGCAGGGGGUGCUUCAACAGAAUUGUCAGCUGGGUUGCUAGCAACGGUUAACCAACAGAAACUUUCAGAUGUGUUGGUCAAAUGUACUGUGUUUGCAUUAAAGGGGAAUUUUGCCGAAUUCUUUGCAUUGUAAUAUCAGCAUAAAAAUGUCAACAUAUUUGAAGUAAAUGUUAUUUAUUUACCUCAAAUUACGUAAGGUCUAGGGCUCCCUAGGAAGCUCAGGCAUACACCCCCCCUGGUUGGGAAUCCCUGAUCUAAAUUAUGUUGCUAUGACAGCAGUGUAGAGGCAUCAGGGGUUACACACAUUUAGGUCCCUGAACUAGAGCCAAUAGAUUCUAAUGUAUUUAAUGAUACAGUACAUCGGGAGAACUUGACCGUAAAUUAUAUUUGCUGAAUAUAGAUUGUUUUAAAGGGUACAAUUAUUAAAUUAAUCUCAAUAUUUAUCUUUUAAUCAAACAGAGGAGUUUCCAAUCCAUUUCUUUAUAAAGAUAAAUGCAACUGCAAUAUGAAGUAACCAUAUAAAAACAUUUUCCAUACAAAAUCCACUGUCACCC
Esox lucius (northern pike) is the source of this 1914-nucleotide long non-coding RNA. Lineage: Eukaryota; Metazoa; Chordata; Actinopteri; Esociformes; Esocidae. The record is from Ensembl.